GUCAGAACUUUUCGCAGAGACGUACGACUUCGGUACUGCAGCGUGUCUGCGAUAAGUUCCCACUACCGUCCUCCCGCCCCCACGGCACGACUACCUUGGGGUGAUGUCGGCGUCCGGUGGAAGGGAGUGAGUUUUGGUGGUGACCGCGUCCUCGCUGCGCACCCUUGUGAUAUUGUACAGCUUCAUUGUAAAUACCAUCGUCACUCAGCCUAGUCAGCUCUGUAUAUACUCAUCUACGCAGAAAUUAAACAAAAGAGAAAUAAGCGAUAACCGUGUGUCGUAUUCUGGAAUAUUCCAUUACAACCGCCAUUGCGGUAGGCUUAGCUCUGCCCAUUUCUUUCAAGAUGGCGUCCUCUUUGACGUUAGGCCUAACCGGGGGUUGCGUCAUCACUUUUUAGGGUUGGCUUGCCGUUAUUAGGGAAUUUAAAUGUGCGUUUUGUUCUGGUUUUGUCUUGAAUAUUUCAUCGCUACGGCUUCGUUCAUUUCAAAUUUUGUCUCGAUACAUCUUUGACCGGAAUUCGUUUUUUUUUUCUUCUUUGUAGCGUUUGGAGUCUACGUCGCGCCGUUUCUGCCUUUAUGCUCUUUCCCCCCAUCUCUCUAGGUCGAUGAAUUUAGUAGUUCUUUUUUGCGGAAUACGUCGUCCUAUGCGGAAUUUUCGAUGCGAAAUAUAUCGUGGUAUCGUCUCAUCCGACCAACGGGAAACAAUGGAAAUUGCAACUACGCACUACCGCCGUGUUCUAUGUACAGUCUGCGACGUGUCGUCGGUGCAUUCCCAAGUUGGGCUAAGUAUCACAAAUCGAAGUAUCAACUUUUAAUUCACCUAGUAGUAUCUUCACAACAAAAAAAAUUUGCAAUAAUUUUAAUUUAUUUGUUGCUUUCAUAAGUUUAAGCAAUGUUAAAGACUGCAAUGUUCAGUUUUCGCAGCUUUUUUUGUUUUUUUAUGCUGGAUAAGGAAAUUGCUGAGUAAUGACAGUUUAAUAUCAACCACACUAUUAACACAUGUUGGUCCUAUACAUUUCCUCCCCUUUUCUAGCCACAGAUUCAAGUACUGAAAUUCUGGGAAAAGGAAAAUUUCAUAAGUAUUGAAAGGAUUUGCAGAGAAGUCUGGCAUAUUUUGUGGUUUACAAGUUGCAAGGUUUCUGAAAAUAUCAAGAGCAAGCAUCAAAGAUUACUCAGUCGGAAUGGGUUUGACUGGAUUCAAUCUUUUUUUAAAUCCUUUUUGAGUUGCACAAGUACAGGAACAAGUUAUUUCGUAAAAAAAAAAAGGCCAAGUUUUGAGUCACUUUUUUUUCUUAGUUCCAGGUUCAAAGACAAGUAGAGUUGAAGUAUAAGGUGAAAAGUUUAAGCGAGGUAGUCCAGUGGAGUUUGUACAGCAGUAUAAAGUGAAAAAAGGAAGUAGAAGAUAUUUGAAGCAAGGUAGACAAGUAAAGCAUGAAGUUGAAAAAACAAAGUUGAAGUUGCAGCAAGAUAGGUGACAAGGUAAAAGUUUAAGCGGAAUCAAGUGUGGAAAGCGCUCAAGGUAGAAGUUCAAGCAAGUAGACUAAGUAAUACAGAAUGAAGUGUGCAAAAAUGUUGAAGGUAGAAGUUCAAGCAAGUAGACUGAGUAAUACAGAAUGAAGCUAGAACAGAAUCAAGCGUGGAAAAUGCUGAAGGUAGAAGUUCAAGCAAGUAGACUAAGUAAUACAGAAUGAAGCUAGAACAGAAUCAAGUGUGGAAAGUGCUCAAGGUAGAAGUUCAAGUUGACAAGUAGACUAAGUAAUACAGGAUGAAGGUAGAAAAGAAUCAAGUGUGAAAAGUGUUCAAGGUUGAAGUUCAAGCAAGUUGACAAGUAGAUUAUGUGAAUCAAAACUGAAGGGAAAAGUUCAAGCAAGGUAGAUUUGGCAGAACAGACAAGUCUCAAAUCCAAGCUUAAGUUCAAGCAAGACAAAAGUUUCUCAAGCUGAAUAUUCACCUUGCCGUACAGUUCAAGCAAGUGUGUUUCUCUGGUGGAUCUAGGAUAGGAGGUUGAACACCCGUAAUGUACUCCAAAGCUCGUCCAAAAGGGGGCCAAGCCGCUUUCAAAUUGGAUACACCGAAAGGUUGACAGAAUGUCUACUCUCCGUGCAACUAGCGUCUGAGAAUGUCUUCAUGCCAAGAUUGGUUCGGGAGUAGUGCACCUUUCUUACAUUUCUAGUUCUUAGUCUCUUUUUCUUGCAGUAGUACCCCAAGUUUCAAGUCAGGCUAUUUUCCUCAAGAAUCUUAACUUUUUGCAAUCUUUCAUUUCUCCUUGCAGUAGUGCAUAGAAGUUGGAUUCAAGGGUGUUUGUCUUUCAGGCGGAAUCUCCCAACGUUCAAGGCAGAUGCUUAAAGAGGCUAUAUUUCGAAGAUGCGGUAGCGACCAAGCGUCCAGUACGAUUACUACUACGGUCCCGGAAAAACGUCUGGCAGCUGCGAAUUUGAAACCGGUCGUGAUUGCGUCCCCGUUUGUCUGGUAAAGCUGAAGUAGACGCCUGAAUAAUCCUUCCCCGUUUGAUGUGCCAAGGUAUUGUCUUCCCCCUGUGGAACCUUCCAAGUCUUUCCUUUUCACGUGUUUUUGUUCUGUGCAGCUUGGGUAAUCCUGCCUUACUUUUCCCCGUAAUGACUCGCCCUUUUGGGAACCUCGAUUGCAUUCUUUAAAAAAACGCCUUGUUGCUUUAUGUGCGUUGCACAGUUUCCAUUAACGCUGUCUCGCUCGAGUAAUCGUUUCAAGGUAUCUUACUGCUGCACGCCAGCUUUGCCCGGUUAUACUUGGCCGUGUGUUGCUAUCUUGGGGAACCUUGCAGCUAAGUGGUUUUAGUGCAUUCUUGCCUGGGGUGGAAGGGGGGGGUUACCGACUGUAUGCCUUCGCUUUUAGCCCUUGCAGCAAACUAGGUAUGCCACGCUCGCAGCCUGGGAUGCACUCUAGGUCGAAAGAAAGGAACCCCUCCUUGACACGCCUCGUAGCACAGUGUUCUCCCACCAAGUUCCGCUUCCUUCGCUGCGCACCUCUUCGUCAGAACACCGGUUUGGAGCCUUGUCCUGCACGGGCGAUAUGUAAGCACAGUGUUGCUGGGAUGGUUUCUUUUGGGCAUUUGCGGUCUUGAGAAUGCAGUAAAAGUUGACUGUUGGAACGAUUUUGCUUGGGAAUAAUUGUGUCUUGUUUGACUCCUUUUUGUGUUUGUGCGCCGGGGAAUGGGGGGGGGGGGGGGGGAAAGUUUGGCGAGCCUUUGCAGCAUCAAGUUUGGUCUCGGUUGAACACGCUUGCGAGUGGCACGUUUUUCCGGUAACCUUUCCUCCAUUCUCCGUUUUUCGUGCUGGUGGGUGGUUGCUUUGGGCAGGGGGGGGGGGGGGGGGGGGGGUGAUCAAAUCGUUCGUGUGAGUUUUUGCAGAAACCACAAGACCCGAAAGAACGACAAGGGGCUAAAGAUUCCAGCUGGGCCAUUUGUAAGCCAGUAAAUCUUUUAGUAGCAUCUCUUCCAACAUUUAGUGAACACUGCGGCUUUCAUCUUUCCAUAGAACGAAGUAUUGGAAUCUUGGGUUAAAGUGAGCUAACUAGUGGGGGGGGGGGGGGGGGGAGGAUAUCAAAAUGGUUGGCAUAGUUUUACAGAGCCCUGCAAGACUGCAAAAGCUGGGGGCAAGCUAAUACGGCCGGCCGGGGACUGCUGUAAGCAGAGUUGGAUUUUCCCACAUAUAUUUCAUCUGUACUUUUUUGUUUUGGGUGGACAUGAGUUUUUUUUUGUUUUUUUUUGGGGGGGGGGGGGGGGGGGUCACCAGGUCGUUGGCAUAGUUUUUGCAGGUCCACAGAUACCUGGCCGAAGGCUCGAAGAACACUUGUCCGGCCUGGCAGGCUGUAAGCAGUUCAUUGCAUCAUUUUUACAUUGAGAGAUCAUUUAUAUAGGUUUUGAUAUGAAGUAAUAUUACUAAAUGGCUGAUGAGAUAACAAUUGCCAUGUAAGUAGAAGAGAUUAAUAUGCAAGAGUUCUACCACGUAACUUUAGAAGAGUUGGUAUUGUAGCCUCGUAUACGGAGGGGGUGGGUGGCUACACGCGAGUUUUUACAGAAUUCGAUGGAUCCGAUUAACCUGAGCGUGCUGAAGACUGGUAGUGGCAACUUUUUCAUUGAAUUUUUGGGAUGGAGGAGGGGGGGCAGGGUAGGGAGGGGUGACCGGAUGGUUGGCGCGAGUUUUUGCAGAUCCAUCGGUGGACUGGCGUUCCAAGUAGUCGAGUACAACCUGCUGCAAGUUGAUUUUCGGUAUUGUUCCUUUUUCGUACAGUAAUAGUUUGAGCCAUCCGAGGCUUAGAAGUAUGAAACAAUACACUCAAUAAUUAAUAUUUACAUACACUUAAACUUUUGGGAGGUUCAAGAGAAUAAUAAUUGCAUUGCUCUAGAACACUUAAAGCUUUUGGGAGGUUCAAGAGAAUUUUGUGGGGAUGAAGGUUAGUGAAUUAACUGAAACCAGUGCAGAGGUAAUUUUGGACACAAGUCUUGCCUGCUGUGAGCAGUAUGUAGGGAAAUUGGGGGGGGGCGGGGGGGGGGGGGGGGGUAAAUAGUUUUCCAGUUCUUUGCAGCCCCCAUCAAGGUACAGCCUCUGGUGUCCGUCCAACCCUGUGUGGUGGAUCCGGUAUGAAAACUCGUGAGCACACAAAUGGAGUUUGUCACAUUUCAUGAAACCGCUUCAAUACUGUCGCUCGAGUCAUUUUUGUAUACUGGUUUUUCGAUGCUGCCGAACAUGUUUUGGGGAAGUCGUCCGAAGGGAUUGUCCGAGGAUCUGGGGAGUGGGUUGUUUUCUCCAAGGGGUGGGGUGUGCCUGCGUGUGUGUGUGUGCGUGCGUGCGUGGUCUUUGCAGCUUUGCGCGUCGCCGUUCAGUCUCCUGGUCGUCGUCUCUUCCUCCCCCUCACACGUGGAAAACGUCCGCACAAGUCCCUGGCGUGGUUUGCUAUCCCCCCUCGAGCGAAGGAUGCAGGGAGUACCACUGUAUUGCUCUGGCUGGUGGCUGGAUGUCUUGCUGGGAAGCAGCCUGCUUACACCCGGGCGGUUCCGCGCGUGCUUAGGCAGUCGGAGCGAGUUCUACCAUCCUGGCUUUGGUCCCGUCUGGAGGAGUUCCUAACAUGGCUGGGUCCCGUACCGCAAGGAGUCCCGUUGCGUCUGCACCCUUUCCCGCAAGAGGGCUGCACCCAUCUACGCCGUCCCGUCCUGCCCGUGGCGUAACGAGUGGCCGUGAGAGCGCCUUCCCCCACCCUGUCUUGGGCCUCGUGUGGCUGUACGGAGAGCCUACCUGCUGCGUGUGUGUCGCUUGGUGGCUGUUCCCCCGGUCCGGCACGGGUUCCAGUUUGUGCACGUGCGCAGGAGGAAGGCGGAAGCAAGGAGUCUCCGAGAGAGGUUUGGGGAAGGGGCGGGUGGGGGGGAGCCAGGGGGUUCCUUGCAGCUGGUUCCCGUGUGCGUGGUUCCGGAUGUGCGUUAAGCGGAGCGGUUCGUGGUUGGCGUCGAGCACCGAUUUGCGGGCGGCCGUCGCUGUGGGCAGCCAGGCGGUGUCCCGGGGCUUUUGUGGGUCCGGUCUCGGUUCCGCGAGGGUUUGGCCCCGUCCCCCGGCGCUGGAGGGCGGCUCUUCCUGAGGGGGCCUCCGGUUCCUGGGGCGGACUUCCCUGCGCGAGACGGUUUCCAAGCUCCUCUGUGCCGCGGCGCCCCCCCUGGCGAGGACUUCCACCGCGUGGCGUUCCUGCUUUCCGGUGCUCGAGGUCAAGCGGGCGUGUGCAGUGGGGCGACAAGGAUCGACCGCGGGAGGGACUUCCUUCUACUCGGCCGUGCAAGCUUCUUCGUUCGCAAGGAUCGUCUGUCGACGCAUCAUUGUUGUCAUCAUCAUCAUCAUCAUCAUCAUCCAUUGAUUCAUCUGUUGCCAUAAUCGUCCAUCAACGCGCAAUUCUACGGUUUUCAACAUGCGUGACGCUUCGUCGUGCUGAGUUUUUUGCUAAGUUGCCGAAGUUUAUUCAAGUCUCAUUGCGACUUUAAAUUCGGGCUUGCUUCAUAUGUUUGAUAGGUCUUAUCUAUGAAAGAAUUUCGUACAAAAUGGCAAAUGACGCUCCGUCUGGCGAUUUUAAGCGAACGUGCAUGAGACACUUUCUGUAAAUCUGGCACCUAAUAGAUAUUUUUAUACCACAAAUUUUCAGCGUGCUGAAAUAUACUAGAAGACCGGUGUUUGCAUUAACAUUCUACUUCGCAGCCAAAUUGAGGAAAUUCAUUAGGAAAUAUUUGCUUAAAAAAAAUAUUAAAAGGGCGGACAAAAUUUGUCCUUUUAGCCUGGAAACAAGCUCUUGUAUGAAUAGCCCGAUAUAACAAAGUUCGCUGAAUUUGACAAAGCAAGAAACAACAUAAUUACAUUUGAAACCAAUUUAAUUUGAUUUUGAAAUCUUCGUUUCGGGGAAUAUCUGAAAAUCGUGAACGUGUUUCGAAUAUUCCACGCUACUACGUGAAACCAUUCUCGCGCUUCUAUUUGAGAAUCGUCAAAUUUACAACGCGCACGCUUGUUUCUUCCACUGAAAAAUAUUGACUCGUCCUUUCAAAUGUUGAAAUUCGUACAGACUUCUGUGUACUAUUCAAGAGUUUGCCGACUCGUGGCGAUGUGCCCUCACUUGGAUCAAAACUUUGAUGAAAAUGGCUUUCAACUGUCCAAAUGACAAAAUCUUGGUUUUCACUCAUGAUAUGCAAAUCUCUUCAUGCGUGUUCAUAUUCGUUUCAGUAGAAAUAUAGACUUGUGAAGUGUGUUCCAGAUGUUCACUAGAAUGGCUUGGAAUGCCCAAAGAACAGAAAUGUCAAGCAUUUGUAUAGUUCCCAAGUUUUGUGACCUAUGAAAUGGAAAGUUGCAUUUGUACAAAACUAUGCUAUCGCCAGAUGAAAUUUUGCUGAUCUUGGAAAUUUGCUGGAAUUAUUUACUAGAUAUCUGCAGUUUCGCAAUGCGAUAUACGUUAUGAACUUGUUUCAGUCACCGAAUUUGUUUCCUCUUAUCUGAAAUUAUGAUCGUGCUCGUGCGUGCAAAUGUAUUUUGAAAUUUGCUGUAUUUUAUGCGUCUGAUUUGUUCCGCGACACCAUAAUUCGCAAAGUAUGACUACGGCUUCAGACAUGUCAUGGCGAUUUUCUGUGGUUGACAUUUUGCAAUAGUGUUCAUUUGGUUAGCUGUUCAUUUCAAAAUACCUUUUUUCGCGUUUUAUGCAUUCGAGCUAUCAUAAUGGUCCGCGAUUGCUGGCAUUCAACCUGAUCGGUGUCGGUUAUGACCUUGACAAUUCGGUCGGACAUUUUGUGGUGAUUCAUUCAUUUCUGACGACGAUUGCCGUUGAUUCGCUGAAAUAUUUUUAGUGAUUUACUAUUGCGUAAAAAACCGGCAAUGAAAUAUUGAACUGAAAGCAGUUGCACAAUGAAGCUGUAUGGCAAUUUUACUUCCGAAGCAAUUAAGACAAUGAAAUGGGCCAUGUUUGGCACUUUUAAUAUGGAGUCUAUGAAGAGAACGACUUGUGUUGAACUGGAUGCUCUAAAUCGAAAUCGGUCAUAUUGAUCAGUUUUACUACCGUUUCUACGAAGAUAUGACAUUCAACUGAAAACUGUUCCGAAUCGAAACUGGCAGUUUUAAUACUGAAUUUAUGAAGACAUGGCAGUUUUAAUACUGAAUUUCUGAAGAUAGAAAUGUUACUGAAUGAAUACUGCUACAAAUUGAAACUUAUGCCUGGCGGUUUUAAUAUUGAAUUCAUGAAGACAAUGAAGUAUGAAACUAAACAUGUUCCAAGAAUUUUAAACCAUGGCAGUAAAAUGAAUUUCAAUACCGACUGAGGGCUGACGUUUCAAACUGAAUGCCAUUGCUAAUCAAAAUCUGCCAUGGUUAACAUUUUCAACAAUAAAUCCAUAACGAAAAUCUUGAAAGGCCAAGUUGGUCUUCAAAUCUGGACAAAAAGACGUGAAUGUUGCAAAGGACUUUGAAACUGGAGACUUUAAUAGCAAAUUAUAAUGCAAUGAAACCUUAAAUGCCGUUUCAAAUCGAAACCAGCCGUGUUUGGCACUUUUAUUACGGAAUUCGUGGAGCGAAUGAUGCGGAAUUCUGCUGUGAAUCGAACAAGAUACCAACUAAAUUCUGUGAAGAGUAAAAAAGAAUCAUCUUUGAAGAAAAUAGCGGACGUCCUGAGGAAUUGAAGCCAGCCAUAUUUGGCACUGUGAAAUACAAAAUCUAUUACAGCUUGCUAUAAACGAAAUGCGAUAAACCGCCGUUUUUUUGCAAUAUUUUUAUAAUGCAGUGUAUCGGUCAAGUUGCGCAGGAAAUACGUGAAGAUCAGUAUGCUAUUGCUUUCCACAUGAUGUGCUGAAGAUACUGAUGUACGAAACUACAAUCUAUGGUUACUGCGGUUCAUGCAUUUGACGACUGUUUGAUUUUGCGAUUCAUGCUUUUGAUUGAAGAUUGCAAUUCAUACGAUUCAGUUCUGAAAUUCAUACGCUUGAGUUCGGAUUUGUCAUUGCAUUCAAAGUAUUCACCUCGGUUUGAUCGCGAAUGAACGCUGUCUAAUACUGAAAUUGAAAUGUAUUGCAAUUCAUACGCUUGAGUUGGGAUUUGUCAUUGCAUUCAAAGUAUUCACCUCGGUUUGAUCGCGAAGGAACGCUGUCUAAUACUGAAAUUGAUAUGUAUCAUUUUUAUUUUGCGCGCUAAAAUUUGAUAAUGUCUGGAUAUGAAUAUUUACAAAAUAUGCCAAUAAGCCGGUCGCGCAUCAUAAAGCUGAAUGAACGAAUAUUCUACAUCCUGUAUUUAUGCAUUUUCAUAAUGACUGCAUUCAUUCAUUGUAUUGAUCAGCGCGUCAUUGCAAAUCGUCCAGCGCAACUCUUCUUCAUAAUAGAAGUCAAGUCACUAUGCUUGUAUAAUUCGGCUUCAUAUUUAUAGAAGUCAAGUUACAAUGCUUGUAUAAUUCUAAAUAACUGAUAUGAUCUAUAUGGAUACGAGAACUAUUUCAUAUUUUUAUCUUUUCAUAUUUUUAUCUUGACGUUUUCGCGGUCAUAAAAAUCGACCCUAUCAUGCGCGCUGAUCUGUGGAACCCAUCCCAUGACAAUUCAUCGCUUCAUGCGCGUGGUGAGUGCAAACGUUGCUGUGAUAAUGUAUGAUCAUUAUUUAUUAUAUCAGAAAAUAAAGAAAAAUCAACUUUAAAGGAAAAUAACAAAAAAAAUUAUUAAAAAAAAAGCAAACCAGCUAUAAAAAAAAUUCAAUUGGCCUAAUUAAAAACAAAGGUGUGGUAUUGGGGCAGGUGCAAGGGGUGAAGGGAGCCUGCCAUAAAAAAAUGUGCUAAACAUGGCAACGUUUGCUUUCCAACUUGAUAUACGAGAAGUUUGAACCUUGAUUAUGUUCAACGCAAAUUCGAGGUGUCUGCUGCAAAACUGGGCCUAAUAAACAACUUAACAAGCA
RNAcentral lists this long non-coding RNA (9419 nucleotides) under Ixodes scapularis (black-legged tick). RNAcentral describes it as "uncharacterized LOC8036515, transcript variant X2". The record is from RNAcentral. Lineage: Eukaryota; Metazoa; Arthropoda; Arachnida; Ixodida; Ixodidae.